GAUGAACGCUGGCGGCGUGCCUAAUACAUGCAAGUCGAGCGAACAGACGAGGAGCUUGCUCCUCUGACGUUAGCGGCGGACGGGUGAGUAACACGUGGAUAACCUACCUAUAAGACUGGGAUAACUUCGGGAAACCGGAGCUAAUACCGGAUAAUAUAUUGAACCGCAUGGUUCAAUAGUGAAAGACGGUUUUGCUGUCACUUAUAGAUGGAUCCGCGCCGCAUUAGCUAGUUGGUAAGGUAACGGCUUACCAAGGCAACGAUGCGUAGCCGACCUGAGAGGGUGAUCGGACAAACUGGAACUGAGACACGGUCCAGACGACUACGGGAGGCAGCAGUAGGGAAUCUUCCGCAAUGGGCGAAAGCCUGACGGAGCAACGCCGCGUGAGUGAUGAAGGUAGUCGGAUCGUAAAACUCUGUUAUUAGGGAAGAAAAAAUGUGUAAGUAACUAUGCACGUAUUGACGGUAACUAAUCAGAAAGCAACGGCUAACUACGUG
This 497-nucleotide ribosomal RNA is filed under the name uncultured bacterium. Its description in RNAcentral is "partial 16S ribosomal RNA". It matches the Rfam family "Bacterial small subunit ribosomal RNA", at positions 28 to 507 of the family's 1533-position model. The record is from RNAcentral.